UCCCUGGUGUUGGUUACUCAGAAAAGAAGGGAUGGAGGUGAACAAGUAUCACUUUUAUCCUCACACAGAGAUGAGUUCUGAGUCUGGCUUUGACGUCAGGUUCUAUGGGUUCUAAUCUUGAGUUAAACUCAAACGCUGAACAAGGUACUCUAAGCCUUGAUUUUCUGGCUUUUUCCACUUCCUCGCCUUCCAUUUCUCUCUAAUCAAGCUUUAGUCUCUUUAGCUUCCAUGGCGUUCUGUGGUCAUUCUCUGCUGUUAUUUUAUUCAACCUCUUAGCAUCGAUGAACAUAGGAAAUCACAUUUUCCUUCCUGAAAUACUUUCUCCUCUUGGCUUCCCAAGACUCCCUACCUCUCUGCUAAUUCCCUACCUACUUUACUGGCCACUCCCUUUUAGUUUCCUCCACUGGCUCAUUUCUCUCUACUUAAACUUUAAAGUCUUGGAGUGACUUACGAUUCAGGCUUGACCUCUCUUUUCUUUUUCUGUUUUGAAGGAUAUCUCAUUCAGUCCCCAAACUUUAAAUACUACCUGCAAAUUAAAAUACUUAUAACUCCCAAAUGUAUACAUCCAACCCUGACCACUCUCCUGAGUGUUAGACUCAUACCCAACUUGGCAUCUUCAUCAGAUAUCUAAAGAGCAUGCCAAGCAAAACUCUGGAUGUCCCUCAACUCAGUCCCAAUCAAAAAAGAAACACACAUGCAAAAAAUCCCCACCCUUCCCCCUACUCAUCCCCAUCUCAGUCAUGACACAACCUAACUGCUUAAGCUAAAAACUAUGAAUCAUCUUUCAUUUCUCUCCCCAUCGCCCUCACCCACAUCCAUUCUAAUACAUAAUAGCUCACCCACAAAACUCCUCCUUUAUCUGUCCUGAAGAGUGAAUCAUUUUCACUUCUACCACUAGCAUUCUAAGCCACCACAAUAUUUCUUCUAGAUUAUUCAAGAUGUCUCUUUAGAAUCUUGGACCCCUACAGUCCAUUCUCUACAGUGAUCUUUUAAAAUUAUAAAUCAGCAGUUCCCAACAAAUCUGACUAGUAUCUAUGAGGAUGCAGGUCCAGUCCCUGGGCUCACUCAGUGGGUUAAGGAUCCGGAAUUGCUGUGAGCUGUGGUGUAGGCCAUAGACGCAGCUCGGAUCCCAUGUUGCUGUGGCUGUGGUGUAGGCCAGUCACUAUAGCUCCGAUUCAACCCCUAGCCUGGAACCUUACAUAUGCCACAGGUGCAGCCAUAUAGAGCACAAAAAUAAAUAAAUAAAUAAAAUGAUAAAUCAGUCCCUGCCAUUCUCUUGUUCUGACUAUCAGGAUAUAAGCCAACCCCCUUUCCAUUGCCUCCAUGGCUUUACAGGUGCUGGAAUCCAGGUAUGAUCUCAUCUCCUGAUCUAAUACUCUCACCUUUGUCCACUAUGAUCCAGCCAACAUCAGUGUUCUACCUGUUUCUCUUAAUUUAUCUACACUUCCAAGCCUAUAUAAGCACUGUUCCUUUUUUCUAGAAUGUUCUUCUCACGGAUAUUUGUAUGUCUAACUUUUCUAUCAUUUGAGUCUGAAGCUAAAAAUCACUACCUCAAAGAAGUUUUCCCUCACCAUUCUAUUUUAUGUCCAUAUUUAUUGAACUACCCUAUUUUAUUCUCCUUGUGCCACUCUUAGUAUCUGAAAUGAUCUCAUUUGUCCCCUUGUUCGUUAUCCAUGUCCUUGUCCAGACUUUAAGCUCAAUCAGACCCAUGUCCUGUUAAAAACUAGAACGCUAUCUCACACAGAGUAGACACUCAGGACAUACCGUUUGAAUAACUGAAUGAAUGAAUGGCUGGAUUUUGUUACAGUGUAGGAGUUGUCAUGAGGACUAAAUGAGAUGAUGCAUGUAAAUUGCUUAGCAUGCUGUCUACCACAUAGUAAGUACUCAAAACUACUCGAUAAUUAAGCAAAAAAAAAAAAAAUUAGCUUUUAUUUAUUUAUUUUUGUCUUUUUUUUUUAGGGCCACACACACGGCAUAUGGAGGUUCUCAGUCUAGGGGUUGAAUCAGAGCGGUAGCCACUGUCCUAGGCCACAGCCACAACAACGCCAGAUCCAAGUUGCACCUGCAAACUACACCACAGCUCACCACAACGCGAGAUCCUUAACCCACUGAGCAAGGCCAGGGAUUGAACCUGCAGCUUCAUGGUUCCUCGUCGGAUUCAUUUCUGUUGUGCCAUGACAGGAACUCCAGCUUUUACUUUUUGUUUGUUUGUUUGUUUGUUUGCCUUUUCUAGGGCCACACCCACGGCAUAAGGAGGUUCCCAGUCUAGGGGUCUAAUCAGAGCUGUAGCCGCCAGCCUACACCAGAGCCACAGCAACUCGGGAUCCGAGCCACGUCCACAACCUACACCACAGCUCACGGCAACAUCAGAUCCUUAACCCACUGAGCAAGGCUAGGGAUCAAACCCGCAACCUCAUAGUUCCUAGUCAGAUUCAUUAACCACUGAGCCACGACGGGAACUCCUCCAGCUUUUACUUUUAUAACUAGAUUUUUGGAGUCAAGUAACCAGACAGAAAACGUGGAAACUGAAAGGUAUAAGUUUCAGACUAAGUAACUUCUGGAGUGAAGCAAGAGACCAUGUUGGAAAGGGAGGGGAAAAGAAAACAGUAGGACAAGACAGGGAGUUUCCAAGGUACUGAUCCAGGAGAUUAAUUCUAGUGUAAAAAGACCUCUGAAGCAAGUUACAUGGGGACAUCUUAAGGGAGCUGGGUCACUAAAGACAAAUCUGCAACUUCUCCAUUUUCCUGACAAUCAAUUCUUCAUUUCCCAUUGCUUUUUGAACAAACACAAACUACUUUUAAUCCAAUUAUCCAACUACAGCUUCAAAAAAGAUAUUGCUUUGCUCACCAAGAGCUAUCUCUGGGGGAGAGAAAGGGAUGGGGGAGGAUGGAGACCCACAGGAAGGAGAACAUCUCUCUUUGAUGCCAUCAAACCCACUGCUUCACCCUCUGGGAGCUUGCUGUGAAAUGUUCUUUCUACUACGGCUUGCAACUAACUGGUCUGGCCAAAUGUGACUGAGCAUGCAGUGGUGGGCACACUGACAUUUUCCUACACUUUCCCCAUCACCUUUGAAAACAGCAUGGAGCAAUGUCCAAGAUGGUGGCCAUCCGUCAUGGGAGUCCCUUUCGAGCAAAAACAUGUAGGAGCUGUGAGAAGGAGAUAUAUUUUUCUUAUUAAUUACCUUGAUUCAGGCCACAGAGAGCCACAAAAAGGAGAGUUGGGGUUACUACUGUAAGAAGGAGAGCAAAGUUUAUUCAGGCAUCCAUCAUGCCUAUAUUUAUCACAGAAACAACUAACAUGCAUUUUGCAAUCAAUCUAUCAAAACUCAAGACAUACUAAAGUCCCAGUCACAACAUAACUAAAAGUGUUGAGAAUUAAAUCUCUCCCACUGAAAGCCGUCACAUAUGCAUUCUGCCCACAUAGAGAACUGCACUCAAGACUGGAUUCGACUGUGUGCAGCUUCAGCAGACUUGAUGUUAAAAUGCUGGGAGGUUCGGUUAGAUGCUGUCUGAACCUUAGGACUCUGAAAAUAUCACAGCAACACAGUGCUCCAAAAAGUCACAUUAUGUUAAUACAAUGGAUUCAAGGCAACACAGUGCUCCAAAAAGUCACAUUAUGUUAAUACAAUGGAUUCAAGGAAAUAUUGCUCCAAAGUUAAACCAUGUGGGUAAGAUAAGGAAAACAGUGUUGGGAAAAGAUUAGUCUUUUGACUCAAGAUAGAUGAGGAUUCAGAAUCUGGCUCUGCCAAGUGGCUUUGGAAAAGGUACUGAGCUAUCACAGUGCUUGGCACCUAGUAGGGAGGCCAUAAAUGUCUGCUGGUUGAAAUGACUGCUUUAAACUUCAGUGAACCUAUCUCUACAAUGGGGAUAGAAAAUCUACCCUACAGGGUUAUCCUGACCAUUAAAGGUAGUGUAGACAAACUAUGCAGCUCCUAAAUACAUACUCAGUAACAAUUACAAUUUUCCUUUACCCUCCUAGCGACUGUCUCCUUGUAAUAUAUCCUUUGACUACUAUGUCCUUUAGGAUUGGCAGACCCUGCUGUUUGGAUUCUUUCAUCUCUUCUGAAGGCUUCCUUAGGAUAGAAGAGUAGAAGAGCACAUGUGACAGAUUUGUAUCCCUACCCUUCAGGCUUUACUGGAGACUCUGCUUGAUCUCACAGGUCUGUGUUUUAAGUGUUUCCCAUUUUCAUAUGUAAACUUUAGCUAGGUGUAUAAGAGAUAAACUAUUUUUCCCCUAGAAACACAAAUUGAGUUUAUUAUUCGGAAAAUGAUUUAUCUAAUAUAUUAGUUCGAUAGAUUCAGCUAGAAAAGUGAAAACAAUUUCAAUCCAUGUUUUGUCUAGGAAGGGAAUACUUUCUUUUUUUUUUUUUUUUUUUUUUUUUUUUUUGGUCUUUUCAGGGUCACACUGGCAGCAUAUAGGAGUUCUCAGGCUAGGGAUCUAAUCAGAGCUGCAGCUGCCGGCCUGAACCACAGCCACAGCAACACCAGAUCCCAGCUGAGACUGCGACCCACACCACAGCUCACAACAACCCUGGAUCCUUAACCCACUGAGCAAAGCCAGGGAUCAAACCCGCGUCCUCAUGAAUACUAGUCAGGUUCGUUACCACUAAGCCAUGACAGGAACUCUGAGAAUAUUUCUUUAAAAUGAAAAAUAAGGCUGUUUUUAAACUUUUACUAGCGGAAGGCACGCCGAAUAUGAACUCCUGGAGACAUUAUCAUUUAAGGUAUGAAUAAGAUUAAGACACAUCAUGUUACUGUUAACAUACAACAUAGUUCUGGAAGAUCUGGUCAAUACUUUAAAAAUUAGAAAUCAAAAAAGGUGAAUUUUUAGGACGUAGAAGAUAAAACCAUCAGCAUUAGCAUGUAAUCUAAUUAUAUACCCCCAAAAAACAAAAAGAAUCAACUGAAAAACUCAUAAUUAGUAAAGUUCAGUAAAGAAGAUAUAAUACAAAAACAGGGAGCUUUGCAGUACAUCAGCUACAAUUAGUUGGUAAAUACCAUGGAAAAAAAUUCCAAUUCCCACAGAAACAAAAUGUACAAAAUGCCUAAAACUAAUCUUAUAUAAUAACAUCUGAAAGAAAUUAACUUAUUUACAGAUAGCUAGAUACACGGGAAAUUAUUGCUUUGCUUCUCAUAGUUUACAAAUUUCUCCAAAAUACCAUUUCACUUGAUGUUGCUCUUGGGUCUUUUUUUUUUUUUUUUUUACUUUUUGGGGGCACACCUGCACAUAUGGAGGUUCCCAGGCUAGGGGCAGAAUCGGAUCUGUAGCCACCAGCCUAUGCCACAGAUACAGCAACCAGAUCUGAGCCAUGUCUGCAAUCUGUCCCAUAGCUUGCAGCAAUGCUACACUCAACCCAGUGAGCAAUGCCAGGGAUUGAACCAACAUCCUCAUGGAUAUUGGUUGGGUUCUUAAGCCGCUGAACCACAAUAGGAAUUCUCUGCUGUAUGGAUUUUUUUUUUUUUUUGGCCUUUUUUUAGGGCCUCAAUCACUGCAUAUGGAAGUUCCCCAGGCUAGGGGUCAAAUGGGAGCUGCAGUCUCUGGCCUAUGCCACAGCCACAGCAAUGUUCGAUCCAAGCUGCGUCUGCGACCUACAUUGCAGCUCUUGGCAAUGCCAGAUCCCCGACCCACUGGGUGAGGCGGAGGAUCCAACGGCAUCCUCCUGGAUACUAGUCGGAUUCAUUUCCAUUGUGCCACAACAGGAACUCUCUCCGGUCUUUUUAAGGAAAAAAAUAACUCUGGGGGAAAGGGAACUUGGGAGAAUGCAGAUACCUGGAUGGAAAUUCAGACAUGAUGGUGUUCUGGUUACACCCUCUGUUGCCCUUUUGAGCCUCGGAGGCGUAGAUUCAGCGUCGAUUCAGUGAAUCUGGCCAGUCGAGAGGCUGCACCUUCUCCCUCCCAGCCCCAUUCUGGCAAAAACUGCGACAAGAAGGAGGUCAGAAAUUCGGUUCUCUCUAAUUCAGUAAAUACACACGGAAACCUACUGUGGGUCGGAAACAGCAGCCACCAAAGCGGGGCGGGUGAGGUAUCAGUCUGCAGGAACCUCACUUUUCCUUGAGUGAACUGGAAACAUCACUCGGUCACGUCACUGUCGUAAAAUAAACGUCAGCCGGUAGGUGUUGAGUCCUUGGGACCCGAGAGGAAGGCGUUUGGCCCGGACUCGGCAGAGAAAGAGGAGGCUAGCGUGGGAGGUGGAAAUAGGUUAGUUUAGAAGACUGCUGAUGGGAAGGUGCCCUCCUGCUUGGCAGGAACCAGGAGGAGGAGCGGCUUAGACUGGGGAGGGAAUACGUACAUUCGGUAGACUCCGAGGGGAAGCCAGAGUGGGCCCUGCUGGACUUAGGCUUUUGGACAAAAGCGCCCGGUAUGUCCCUCUUUUCAACCCACUGCCCUGUUUCACUGUUAGAGUCCUAACUCAUCCUCCGGUCCCCUGUCUCACCUCACUUCACACAGCACAUAUAUUGCUUCACUGCCCCCACUGUAAUUGCUACGUGACCUUACGCUGUGUCUCUUGCCUCCUGAAGAUAUUGCUGAGCCUGUCUGUUGUCUCUAGAAUAAAGCUGAAGCUGCAAGCAUAUCUGUCCAAGACGUGGCACUUGUCCUCUUUUCCAGCUUCAUGUCCAACCACUCGACCUUCCCAUUCUGUGGUCCAGUGUUUGCAUAAUAUCUUCAUUAGUCUUUACUUCUUGGCUUGCGCCAUCUUCACUAAGACUCCCUUGCCGCCCCCCCCCCCACACACACACACUCCCCUGCUGCUGCAAUUCUCAGUCCGGUUUAAGUCUCCCCCUCUUCUCUAUGCUCACCCUGUAAUCCUCAUUAUAUUUUCUAUUGCCCCCACCAGGGGUGGAAUCUUCUUAAAUAGCAGGGCUUUCCCUUUCUGUUGUGUCUAUCACCAGGCAUCCUCCAGUUCCUGCUGGGCUGCACGUCCUUCCUGAGCUCCUCUCUUCAUCUUCUCCUAGUUUUGUGCCUUGGGAGGCUAGAUGGCAGGCUCUCUUGUGUUUAGCUGCCAGUUGUGUGUGCCUAUGAGAGAUUAGAAAAUAAGAAAAUAAGGUCUAGGAGUUCCCCUUGUGGCUCAGUGGGUUAAGAACCCAACAUAGUGUCUGUGAGGAUGUGGGUUCAAUUCCUGGUCUCACUCAGUGGGUUGAGGAUCUGGCAUUGCUGUGAGCAGCAGGGUAGAUUGCAGAUGCAGCUCCCAUUCAGAGUCACCAUGGCUAUAGUGUAGGCAGCUGCAUCUCCAAUUCGACCCCUAGCCC
This 7247-nucleotide long non-coding RNA is filed under the name Sus scrofa (pig). RNAcentral's name for it is "lncRNA (ENSSSCG00000056505.1)". The record is from RNAcentral. Lineage: Eukaryota; Metazoa; Chordata; Mammalia; Artiodactyla; Suidae.